This is a non-coding RNA of Ciona savignyi (Pacific transparent sea squirt), 74 nucleotides long. Lineage: Eukaryota; Metazoa; Chordata; Ascidiacea; Phlebobranchia; Cionidae. The record is from Rfam.
GUCUCUGUGGCGCAAUUGGUUAGCGCGUUCGGCUGUUAACCGAAAGGUUGCUGGUUCAAGCCCAGCCGGGGACG